GAGCCAUGAUGAUAGUUGAACUUUAGUGAUGGUUGGUUCCAUCACAAUUGCCUGAUUUCCAAAAGACAACACCGUUAUAUCUAUGUAUUAGCAU
RNAcentral lists this small nucleolar RNA (94 nucleotides) under Theobroma cacao (cacao). RNAcentral describes it as "small nucleolar RNA snoR114". It matches the Rfam family "small nucleolar RNA snoR114". Lineage: Eukaryota; Viridiplantae; Streptophyta; Magnoliopsida; Malvales; Malvaceae. The record is from Rfam by way of RNAcentral.